GAGUUUGAUUAUGGCUCCAGGAUGAACGCUGGCGGCGUGCCUAACACAUGCAAGUCGAGCGCGGUUGUGCUUAGUAUUGAGUGUUUUAUUGAUAUAAAACAUUGAAUUCUAUGCACAACUGAGCGGCGGACGGGUGAGUAACCGCGUGGGUAACCUGCCCUAUACACAUGGAUAACAUACUGAAAAGUUUACUAAUACAUGAUAAAAUAGUUUUUCGGCAUCGAAGAAUUAUCAAAGUGUUAGCGGUAUAGGAUGGACCCGCGUCUGAUUAGCUAGUUGGUGAGAUAACUGCCCACCAAGGCGACGAUCAGUAGCCGACCUGAGAGGGUGAUCGGCCACAUUGGAACUGAGACACGGUCCAAACUCCUACGGGAGGCAGCAGUGGGGAAUAUUGCACAAUGGGCGCAAGCCUGAUGCAGCAACGCCGCGUGAACGAUGAAGGUCUUCGGAUCGUAAAGUUCUGUUGCAGGGGAAGAUA
RNAcentral lists this ribosomal RNA (478 nucleotides) under Peptostreptococcus sp. canine oral taxon 033. Its description in RNAcentral is "bacterial SSU rRNA". It matches the Rfam family "Bacterial small subunit ribosomal RNA", at positions 9 to 450 of the family's 1533-position model. The record is from RNAcentral. Lineage: Bacteria; Bacillati; Bacillota; Clostridia; Peptostreptococcales; Peptostreptococcaceae.